This 406-nucleotide long non-coding RNA is filed under the name Sinocyclocheilus anshuiensis. RNAcentral describes it as "lncRNA (ENSSANG00000035404.1)". Lineage: Eukaryota; Metazoa; Chordata; Actinopteri; Cypriniformes; Cyprinidae. The record is from RNAcentral.
UAGAUUGAUUCCGCAUCGGUCACUCUGAUGGAUCAGAACUUGGUUGAAGAAAAAAUGGAUAUAAGCAAAGUCUUUGAAGAGUUAUGCAAAAGUAUUUCAACAAAGUAUUUCCACUUUGAUGAGGACUCCAGGAUUGAGCCUGCCCUGACAAAUGUCACAUUCUGCCCAAAAAGAGUGAUUAAUGACCAACUAAUGAACCCAUCACUCAGGAGGCCCAAUCCAUACAGCAUAUCCCACAGUGAGAGAGCAGAGAGGGCUGCGAACAGGAAGAGGCCUGUGAAUACGACCGCUCGAGCGUACAGAGCCUGGUUUCAGUGGUGGAGGUGUCAACUAUCAAUGGAUGAUUAUCUUAACUACAUUUCUAAUCAGGUUAGUUUAUAAUAGGAGUGUGUGUUUACGGCAGUGG